Molecule: long non-coding RNA, 759 nt
Filed under: Homo sapiens (human)
Lineage: Eukaryota; Metazoa; Chordata; Mammalia; Primates; Hominidae
Description: HSALNT0121711
Source: RNAcentral
GACUUUGGGGAAUUUCAAUGUUUUGCUUUUCAUCUUCCUGAGAGUCCAGAAGCCUCCCCGUCAGAAGUGUGUUAACAGCAGUUCAGCCCAUUUCAGGGUGAAGGACAGUUUGUCAUCUAACUGUUUUAACCCUCUUAGGGAGAAAGUACAUAGACUGAAAAGAAUUUGACUGAACGAAGACUCGAUCACACGCUGUGUACCCGCCCUGUGUAGGUGAACUCAGUGCAAAUAUCUAAUUGGAAUCCUGAAUGACACCAAAACCCUUUGCUGGAGCUGGGAGCAGAGAGGGAAUUAUGAGGGGGAGGCAACAGGAAGCGUCACCUGGUCAGGAAGGACUCCCUGAGCCUCAGCUAACAGGAAGCGUCACCUGGUCAGGAAAGAUUCCCUGAGCCUCAGGUCAGGGCUUGAAUUUCUCAUUCAUUUGGUAGCUUAGAGUCCCAGGAUUAAGAUAUGGUGAUGCAUGGAGGGAGAACCCCACUCUGGGAAGAGAAGAGCAACAGCAUCUCCUGUCUCCCUCAGUCCAGGCUUUGUGCCAGAUUAUCUCACGGAUCCUCACAAGUACACAGCCUAGGUGACUUAAAAGAAGAAGAGAUUAAGACACAGACAGAUACAGAGGAAAGAUUACAUGAAGACUCAGGAAAAUGACGCCAUCUACAAGCGAAGGAGAGAGGCCUCAGGAUAAAUCAACCCUACAGACACCUUAAUCUCAGAUUUCUAGCCUCUAGACUUGUAAGAAAAUAAAUUUCUGUUGUUUAAGUG